CCCGCUGAACUUAAGCAUAUUAGUAAGCGGAGGAAAAGAAAUUAAAAAAGAUCCCAUUAGUAGCUGCGAGCGAACCUGGGUCAGCUCACACUUGAAAUCUCUGCUGGUUUACUGGCGGCGAAUUGUAGUUUUGUGAACAGCUUCGGUUGUGCUUAGUCGGUCAAAGUAGUCUGGAAAGGCUCUCCAUAGAGGGUGAAAGGCCCGUGUGAUCGGUCGAGUGCUGCCAAUGGAGUUGUUUCUGUGAGUCGGACUGUUUGAGAGUAUAGUCCUAAACGGGUGGUAAGUACCAUCUAAAGCUAAAUAUAAGUGAAAAACCGAUAGUAAACAAGUACCGUGAGGGAAAGUUGAAAAGGACUUUGAAAAGAGGGUCAAAAGUGCUUGAAAUUGUCACGGCUGAAUGGAUCUUAGCGGGCGCCAAGUCUGGUCAUAAUCAACCUUUUGUGGUCGGGAAGUUGGGUCUAUUGAGAGAAAUCCGGUAGGCUUAAUUUGACGGCUACUUUGGGCGCACUUGUGGUCGGACGGCAACGAAAGUAAUUCGGAGCUCAGAAUGGGUUCGUAUCGACUGUUUUACGAAAGUUUAGCAGAAAAUGCGGACGCACCACGACUUUGUCUUACUUAGGGGCUAAUUUAGCACCGGAGGCUUGGAUUUCUGGGCCCUUCGUCGACGAGAUUUUGGUUUAUUAUCGAGGAAACUCGGUGGUAUUCCAGGGUCGAAUCGGCGGAGUCAGCCAAAGAGCCUCCUCGUCGUUGAAGUCAACUCAGAUUCUCCCGUCUUGAAACACGG
RNAcentral lists this ribosomal RNA (784 nucleotides) under uncultured fungus. RNAcentral's name for it is "eukaryotic LSU rRNA". It matches the Rfam family "Eukaryotic large subunit ribosomal RNA", at positions 24 to 664 of the family's 3401-position model. Lineage: Eukaryota; Fungi. The record is from RNAcentral.